CUUAAGCCAUCCCUGACACAGUGUCGUGUAGAUUUUGUUCUGCUCGGUACAGUUGUUUGACAGCUGAACUCAGGAAGAAACUGCAGAUACACCGAGGACAGCACACAGGGUUAUCACAGAAGACCACCUGGACAUGGAUCACCUGUUUGUGCUGCUGCUGCUGUGCAUCUCUGAACUCCACGCUGAAGGAGAACUAACAGAGUCUGUCAGGUUGGUGGGAGGAGACAUUCGCUGUGCAGGAACACUGGAGGUGAAACAUCUGGGAGAAUGGAGACCAGUGGAGGGUCACAGUGCCUGGACCCUGAAGACAGUAGAUUUUGUUUGCAGAAAGUUGGCCUGUGGCUCUGCUGUUUCUGUAGGAGAGAGAGAAGAGUCCUCACGCAGAUCUGUGUGGAGGAUCCCAUAUGAAUGUGUUCCGAAUGCAUCUGAUCUGGGGAAGUGUGCAUCAUCAAUUUCCCAUUCCACCCUCCUGACUCUCAACUGCUCAGACUCUGUCAGGCUGGUGAAUGGGACCAGUCUGUGCUCAGGCAGACUGGAGGUGAAUACUAACCAGUCUACCCAGCGCUGGUCCUCAGUGUGUGAAGAUGACUUUGACCAGCAGGAUGCAGAGGUGGUCUGUAGGGAGCUUGGCUGUGGGCCUCCUUCAGUCCUCCAGGGGGCGCUCUAUGGAGAAGUGGAGGCUCCAAUGAGGACCAAAGAGUUUCAGUGUAGAGGCCAUGAGUCUGCUCUCCUGGACUGUAGAAGCUCAGGCUCAGAUAGAAACACCUGCUCUCGUAGAAAAGCUGUUGGAUUCACCUGCUCAGAGCCUGUCAGGUUGGUGGGAGGAGCCAGUCGCUGUACAGGAACACUGGAGCUGAAAUAUAAGGGAGAAUGGAGACCAGUGAAUGACUAUUAUUCUGUCCUGACCCUGAAGGAAGCAGCUGCUGCCUGCGGAGAGUUGGACUGUGGCUCUGCUCUUUCUGUAGGAAAGAGAGAGUCCUCACACAGAUCUGUGUGGUUAGUUUUGUCAAGCUGUGUUCAUUCUGGAUCUGCUCAGAGGGGGUGUGCAACAUCAUUUUACUCUUCCUUCAUACAGGAUCUCAUCUGCUCAGACCUGCUGUUUCAUCCCGACAUCUCUGUGUCCUCCUCCAUAGUCGGGGUCUCCGAGGAGGCCCAGCAGCGGGGAUUCCAAGUGUUCUGGCACUCAAACUUCACCAUUAGCUGCUCCAUCCAGCCACAGUACCCAGGAGGCUCCUUCCAGCUCACCUUCACCUCCUCCAACUCAACACACAACUACACCCAGCCAGCUGUCAAUCACUCUGCCCACUUCCUGUUUCUUGCUGCAAAGCCCACCCACCAAGGAAGCUACAGCUGUGUUUAUCACCUCUAUGUUUUCUCUCAUAAUUUCUUCUCUGAGAGCAGUCUGCUCUCUCUCAUCGUCAUAGGUAAGCAGACUGUUUACAGGUUUGGAGAAGAUGAUUGGUCCAAACUGAGUGAAAAUGAUUAGCUGACAACAUGUUUCUGCUUUGACACUGUGACGAAUAUCAUCUUGUGUCAUAUAAUAACCAUACUUUAUACAAAGUGUUUAAAUGGCAACAAUAAACAAACUGAAGGACAGAGCAUGUGUGGUUUCCAGAAUAACUCUGGUUCUCUGAGAACUGAGUGAGGUGUUUCACUAUGAGAAGCACCUUGUUCUGACGUGACCAAUCACAAAGCUCCACUGCCACCACAUCUGUCCUAACAUCCUUUAGCCCCUAACUCGCCAUUUUCAUGUGUAGUUCCUCCACCUGACAGAAACAGCUCCGAUACCUCAAACUUGUUUUAUGCUUCUUGCGGUGAGUGCAGUCAGGGCGGUGUGGACAGUGAUUUUACGGAACUGCAGCCAGGGGAGACGGUGUGGAAAGGCCCUGAUCUGAGCUGUGUACAUUUAAGCUUUUGCAAUAACCCUGACUGGGUCUCACAGAACGGGUUGCAAUAAUUGGCUACAGAAGAACUCCAUUCUUAGAGCCACUCUGACUGCUUUGACCACUUCAGUAUACAUACGGAUGAUGACGGUUCCUGGCAACAUGUGCACUGUCUACAUCACUCUGACCAGGCUGACAGCGAGAAGCAUGAAACCAGUCACUCAGUGCUCAGAGAACCGGGUUAUCAUGGAAAACAUUUUCCAACCUCACUCACUAUCUCACUGUGGGAAAUAUGGUCCACCCCCAAACUGCAGGAGGACCGACACCCUCCUCAUGAGUUAAUACCUGCCCAGGGUGCCCAGCAGCAGCACAAAUACCCCCCACAGAAAUGCUCCUGAGUCCAUGAAGCAGUCAUACCCCUGGAGGCUGUAACUCACAACCUUUAUCAUCCAGCAGGAGAUGCUUCACUCCCCAGAGGAUAGAAAGAUGCUGGCCACAUCCAUCAGAUUCAACACCUUUUAUCAUCAGAGUGGUCGUCCUGCUGCUGACUCUGCUGUUGGUAAACGUUGC
Molecule: RNA transcript, 2453 nt
Organism: Perca flavescens (yellow perch)
Lineage: Eukaryota; Metazoa; Chordata; Actinopteri; Perciformes; Percidae
Gene name: deleted in malignant brain tumors 1 protein
Exons: 8
Source: RefSeq, a predicted model, not a curated record